CCUACGGGCGGCAGCAGUGAGGAAUAUUGGUCAAUGGACGAGAGUCUGAACCAGCCAAGUAGCGUGAAGGAUGACUGCCCUAUGGGUUGUAAACUUCUUUUAUCUGGGAAUAAAAUGUUCCACGUGUGGGAUUUUGUAUGUACCAUAUGAAUAAGGAUCGGCUAACUCCGUGCCAGCAGCCGCGGUAAUACGGAGGAUCCGAGCGUUAUCCGGAUUGAUUGGGUUUAAAGGGAGCGUAGGUGGAUUGUUAAGUCAGUUGUGAAAGUUUGCGGCUCAACCGUAAAAUUGCAGUUGAAACUGGCAGUCUUGAGUACAGUAGAGGUGGGCGGAAUUCGUGGUGUAGCGGUGAAAUGCUUAGAGAUCACGAAGAACUCCGAUUGCGAAGGCAGCUCACUGGACUGCAACUGACACUGAGGCUCGAAAGUGUGGGUAUCAAACAGGAUUAGAUACCCCUGUAGUC
RNAcentral lists this ribosomal RNA (460 nucleotides) under uncultured bacterium. RNAcentral describes it as "partial 16S ribosomal RNA". It matches the Rfam family "Bacterial small subunit ribosomal RNA", at positions 338 to 795 of the family's 1533-position model. The record is from RNAcentral.